AGUAUGUUAGAACUUAAUUCUACUUCUAACAACUCUAAGUUUAUCCAAAGCCAUUAUUAAAUGCAAAAGGAACAUUAUUUCUACAUUUAUAAGCUAGAUGUCAGAAUUGGGUUGCUAGAAAAAAAUCCGUUUCCAGACAACUUUUUUUUUUUCUCUCAAGUUAGGCUGCUCCUGGUUCAUGUUGCUAUAACCCUACAUUUGCUUUUUAAAAAGCUCAAAAUUUGGAAAGUUUUCUUGAUCAUUAUAUUACCUAUGAGUUGACCAGUACCUAAUAGUUCCAUGUUUCUAUUUCAAUUAUGUAGCAAUCAAAUUGAUUCUUCCAUUUAGGAAGAAGCUUAUACUGUAAGGUAGGUCUCUCUGGCAAAACUCCUCCUGAGACCCUGUUUUUGUCUUUUGUGUUUAACCUGUGCCUGUAAUAUGUACAGACCUUUAAGUUAUUUCAUGCAGCAUUACAUUAAAUGAUAUUAUCAGCCUCUUCAUAGAACAGGCAAAGCAAGGUGGAGCAGGGCAAAGAUCCUAGACUUUUGGUUUAUCAGCCCAUAUAGUUUCAAAAGGAAUAUGGGAAUCAACAUACACACACUCCUAUACAUAAACUAGACAACCAACAAGGACCUAUGGUAUAGCACAGGGAAACUCUAUUCAAUGUUCUGUAAUAAUCUACAUGGGAAAGAACCUGAAAAAGAAUGAGGAUACGUACACGUAAAACUGAAUCACUUUGCUAUGCACCUGACACUACCACAACAUUGUAAGGUAACUACACUCCAAUAAAAAAAAAGAAAUAAGGCGAGACAAAAUGAUGGUGCAUUAGUGAGAGCUUAGAGAAAUACAACCAAUAGGGUGUGUAUGUCUAUAAUUUAUUGUACAUAAAAAUACAUAUAAUAAAAUUUAUAUUAUGUAUAAUUAACAUUAUAUACAAUAAAUAUGCAAUUUAUUAUAAGGAGUUGGCUUAUAUUUAAUUAUGAAGGCUGAUACAUUCCCAAAUCUUCAGUCAGAAACCUGGACACCCAGGAGAGCUGAUGAUGGAGUUCCAGUCUGAGGGCCAGCAGGUUCAACUCUACCAGUCCCAAGAUCUGCAGCUGGCAAGAUGUAGACCCAGAAAGAGCCAGGGUUUCAGUUCAAGUCCAAAGGCAGGAAACAAAGACAAUGUCCUAGCUCAAAGGCAGUGAGACAGCAGGAGCUUCCUCUUCAUCAGCGUUUUGUUCUAUCCAGGCUUUCAAUUGAUUGGAUGAGGUCCACUCACGUUACGGAAGACAACCUGCUUUACUCUGUGUAUGGAUUUAGAUACGAAUCUUGUCCAAAAUACCGUCAUGAAAACACCCAGAAUAAUGUUUGACUAAAUAUCUGGGUACCCUGUGGCACAGUCAAGUUGACACAUCAAAUAAUUUAUUUUAGUAAGUGAGGACAUGGCGAUUAUCAUUACUUCAUAAAAGAGGAAGAAUAUUCAUGACUUUACAAAUGACUUUAUAGAAGAUCUAAACAGACAUUUCUCCAAAGAAGACAUACGGAUAUCCAAAAGGCACAUGAAAACAUGCUCAACAUGAUUAAUUAUUAGAGAAAUGCAAAUCAAAACUGCAAUGAGGUAUCACCACAUACCGUCAGAAUGGCCAUCAUCAAAAAGUCUACAACCAAUAAAUGCUGGAGAGGAUGUUUAGAAAGGGAACCUUCCCCUGCUGCUGGUGGAAAUGUAAACUGGGACAAACACUAUGGAGAACAGUAUGGAGGUUCCUCAGAAGACUAAAAAUAGAACUACAAUAUGACCCAGCAAUCCCACUCCUGGGCAUCCAUCCAAAGAAAACCAUAAUUCAAAAAGAUAUAUGCACACCCAUGUUCACUGCAGCACUAUUUACAACAGCCAAGACAUGGAAGCAACCUAAAUGUCCAUCGACAGAGGAUUGGAUAAAGAGGAUGUGGUACAUACAAGCAAUGGAAUACUACUCAACCAUAAAAGUAGAAUGAAAUAAUGCAAUUUGCAGCAACAUGGAUGGACCAAGAGAUUAUCAAGUGAAGUCAGACAGAGAAAGACAAAUAAAUACCAUGUUACUUACAUGUGGAAUCUAAAACAAAAUGAUACAAAUGAACUUAUUUAUAAAACAGAAAUAGACUCAUAGACUUUGAAAACAAACUUAUAGUUACCAAAGGGGAAGGGCUGCAGGGAGGGAUGGAGAGGGGAUGUAGGACUGGCAUAUGUACACUACUCCAUAUGGAAUGGACAGUCAACAGGGACCUGCUGGAAAGCUAGGUCUUUACUCAAUAUUCUGUGAUAACCUAUAUGAGAAUGUUUAUGUGUACAUGUAUAACUGAAUCACUUUCUCAUACAGUAGAAAUUAGCAUAUCGUAAAUGAACUCUACUUCAAUAAAAUUUUUAAAAAAGAAAUAAAUGAAAAAAUAAUACCAAAAAAAAGAGAAAAAACCCCAAAAAACUCUGCCAGAAUGAAAUGAGUCAGAAAAUUGAGGUUUGGAGGCUACAGGGAGAGAAUCUGCAAGGGGGUGAAACAUUGAGGGGGGGGUCUCUGCGAAAAGCUGAUGUGACAAAGACCCGCUGUUCUGCUGGCGAGAGUGUGAACGGGGGUAGUGACAUGGAGACGGCAGCCUACCGGGUCCUUCUGUCCCUUUGAGUUUUUCUUUUCUCUUAUGACAAAGGCUGACGGAGGCAAGAUUAAGAACCAGUUGUCCAAUAUGCCAUGUGAUUCUAGAUGUUCACCCUAAGCAGAUCUGUGAAAUGACAGAAAUAAGGCAACCUGUCAAGAGCUUAAACCUCAGAGAUCUGGCAAAAUGUGGUGGGGACAGAAGAUUUGGAAGACAUCCCAUGCCUACCAGGUGGCUCUAGUUAUUCUCCAGUCGUAAGAAACUCAUGCAUUUCUUUCAUUUUCAGAAGGAAAAAAAAAAAAAAAGACGACGCUUAUUUAAAAAUAAAGCAACAUAAAAGAAACGAGCAAAUUAAAUCUCUUGCAAAAUAACUGUGAAGAAGGGAAAAAGGAGCAUAACUAGGCUAUUGUAACGGUGAGUGCUUUUUAGGUACUGCACGUAUGCGAAAGUUUCCUGUGAGAUGUUUUGAAAGCAGCAGCCACUUUUCAAAUGAAGGGAAGUUCGUGCUCUGCCCCACCCAGGCUGCCAGAAUUAAGAGAGGCACUGCUAGAGGGGUUAAAACCGGGCAUGGGAGAGGAGUCCAGGAACAGACUGACUAACUACAAGGCCAACUGCAGGCGGAGUCAUUUCCAUUUAAAUUAAAGGUGUUUAAAUGCCAUUUUUCAGGUGCUAACCUGGCUGGCUUAGGGAACCCGGAAGUGUCCACAUAAUAAGCUAAUUUCAUUACUCUUAACGUCCGAGGAUCCUGAACCUCAUCUUCAAUGAAAUUGGGUGUAGCAGUCCCUCAGGAUGCCUUUGAAUUUGAAUUAAAUUCAGGAUGCCAUGAAUUUAUCGCAGUUGGUUGAGUGUGUUUGCAAAAGAAAGGAUCACAGCUUUGUCAUUCAAUGUGUUCUUCCGUCGUCACUGGGCUCUGAUGGAAUCUCACUGUAGCAUUUCAGCAUAGAAUAUAUUUUAUACACGGGGCUCAAUCAAAUCUAACGUAAAGGUUGUACUUUUAAUACAGGUGAGUGCACUAACAUCUCUAACUUCACAGUCUUGCGCUAUUUCUUAGCCAAUAAAAUUAUGAUUGACUCCCCCUGUGAUUAUAGAUGCUGGACUAAUGGUUUCUUUAUACUUGUGAUCUUUAAUCCAUGUUCCUUGAAGAGCUAUUUUUACAUCAAGUGCUCUCUUGUUGAAGAAUUUUAGGCGUAAGAACUGAAUAUUGUUCAUUAUAUAAGGGUAUAGAAUUUACACAGCUCUAAAUGAGUAAAAACGUAUGCUCAUUUAAGAAAUAUGGUGGAUAUCAUUAUUUUGUUUUUCUCCAAAUUCUUCUUUCUGCUGCCUAAAGCAGGGCUGCUUCUUUUGGAAGGUGCACAUCUAACAUGGGGUCUGAACGAAAGCUGCGAUCUCCCUUUGGCCAUAACCCCCCUGUGUCUGCUGUAAUUUUUACAAAAGUGAGAACCUGACCUGGGCUGUGUGGAUACUAGCACCUUGGCUCCUGGUCAUGAAGACUGGCCUGAGCCAGGGCUAUGGGGAAGAGGGAGGGGAUGGCUGAAUCCCAAGCUACUUCCCUGGGAUUUUCCUCGGAACUGAAGCUGGAGAAGAGCUCUUUCCUUUCCAGUGGGAAAGCUGGAACUCGGAGCCAUGAGUUACCGGGAGACACUAACAGAGCCCAGGAUCUCUCAGCUUCAGCAAUCUCGGUAUUUUGGGUCACACGGUUCUUUGUUGUGAGGGGCCACCCUGGUCAUUAUAAGACGUUGAGCAGCAUCCCUGAUCUCUAUCAAUUAGAGGUCGGAAUGACCUUCCUCCUGCCAUACUGUGGCUUCAAAAAAUAUCUGCAGACUCUGUUAAAUGGCCCUUACUUAGUUGAGAACCACAGAAUGAGCCUCAUGUAAAGGCAGGAUUAGGAGCAAGUGAGGCCCACUCACUGGAGCAAAGUAGGAAAUAAAUGUCUGUUCAGAACCAGUUUUGCCCAAAUACACCUUUUUCCCUUUUUGUUAUAUCAGCCCAUCGUUUCCCAUUUUUUUAAAGUAGUUUUUUUUUUUUUUUUUUUUUUGGUCAGGUGGAAUAAAAAUUAUUGAACUAAGAAAAAGAUGGGAGCACUGGGCCAAAGGCAAUUAAAAAUCAAUUAAUAGUAGGCAGAGAUUCCACCUGUGAGU
RNAcentral lists this long non-coding RNA (4724 nucleotides) under Sus scrofa (pig). RNAcentral describes it as "lncRNA (ENSSSCG00025068269.1)". The record is from RNAcentral. Lineage: Eukaryota; Metazoa; Chordata; Mammalia; Artiodactyla; Suidae.